CGGACGAGAAGCUUGCUUCUCUGAUGUUAGCGGCGGACGGGUGAGUAACACGUGGAUAACCUACCUAUAAGACUGGGAUAACUUCGGGAAACCGGAGCUAAUACCGGAUAAUAUUUUGAACCGCAUGGUUCAAAAGUGAAAGACGGUCUUGCUGUCACUUAUAGAUGGAUCCGCGCUGCAUUAGCUAGUUGGUAAGGUAACGGCUUACCAAGGCAACGAUGCAUAGCCGACCUGAGAGGGUGAUCGGCCACACUGGAACUGAGACACGGUCCAGACUCCUACGGGAGGCAGCAGUAGGGAAUCUUCCGCAAUGGGCGAAAGCCUGACGGAGCAACGCCGCGUGAGUGAUGAAGGUCUUCGGAUCGUAAAACUCUGUUAUUAGGGAAGAACAUAUGUGUAAGUAACUGUGCACAUCUUGACGGUACCUAAUCAGAAAGCCACGGCUAACUACGUGCCAGCAGCCGCGGUAAUACGUAGGUGGCAAGCGUUAUCCGGAAUUAUUGGGCGUAAAGCGCGCGUAGGCGGUUUUUUAAGUCUGAUGUGAAAGCCCACGGCUCAACCGUGGAGGGUCAUUGGAAACUGGAAAACUUGAGUGCAGAAGAGGAAAGUGGAAUUCCAUGUGUAGCGGUGAAAUGCGCAGAGAUAUGGAGGAACACCAGUGGCGAA
This 666-nucleotide ribosomal RNA is filed under the name Staphylococcus aureus. Its description in RNAcentral is "bacterial SSU rRNA". It matches the Rfam family "Bacterial small subunit ribosomal RNA", at positions 67 to 719 of the family's 1533-position model. RNAcentral also lists the same sequence under 1 other name. The record is from RNAcentral. Lineage: Bacteria; Bacillati; Bacillota; Bacilli; Caryophanales; Staphylococcaceae.